Molecule: long non-coding RNA, 686 nt
Organism: Apodemus sylvaticus (European woodmouse)
Lineage: Eukaryota; Metazoa; Chordata; Mammalia; Rodentia; Muridae
Exons: 3
Source: RefSeq, a predicted model, not a curated record
CCCUCCACCCAAAGAGGUUCUCGCAUUGACUCUGAGGAAUCUGGUCACACAAGCUGCCCUCUUUCUCCAAACUCAAGCUGGCAUCAGAGGUGCAACAGACCCAGGAUGUGAGGGUCAUUGGGAAGUUUGUUGCUGCCUGGUGGGUUGGGAGUGCUCUGUGGUGCAGAAGACAGAGAAGGUCCUUUCUGUGAGCAACCCCUGAGUGAAAUAAGCCAUAAUCAAAGAUCCUCUGCCCUGGUGCCAGGAGACCGUCAUUGAUACCACAGUACCAUCGAUAUUUCCCAGGCAUGGGUCAGACUUCCUAUUCUAAACCCCCUCCAUAGGAGGAUCCCAAUUUGCCCUCCAGCUUUGGCACAAAUCUUCAAAUUUCAAGAUGAAAACCAAAGUCCUGUCUCAGGAAUUAAUUGCCUUCAUUGAAUCAUCCUUAGAGUUUGGAAAUCUUCGGGAAACAGUUUCUGCAAUCAGCAGAGCUCUGGGUGACAUUGAGAAAGCCCCACUGAACACUGCAGUGAUGGGGGAGACUGGGGCUGGAAAGUCCAGUCUCAUCAAUGCUCUACAGGGAGUGGAGGCUGACGAAGGAGUUUGUUUAUGUAGUGGAUUACAUCGAUGGAUUUCCAUAUAUUGAACCAUUCCUGCAUCCCUGGGAUGAAGCCUACUUGAUCGUGGUGAAUGAUCUUUUUGAUAUG